RNAcentral lists this ribosomal RNA (484 nucleotides) under uncultured bacterium. RNAcentral's name for it is "partial 16S ribosomal RNA". It matches the Rfam family "Bacterial small subunit ribosomal RNA", at positions 30 to 507 of the family's 1533-position model. The record is from RNAcentral.
AUUGAACGCUGGCGGCAGGCCUAACACAUGCAAGUCAAGCGGAUGAAGGGAGCUUGCUCCUGGAUUCAGCGGCGGACGGGUGAGUAAUGCCUAUGAAUCUGCCUGGUAGUGGGGGAUAACGUCCGGAAACGGGCGCUAAUACCGCAUACGUCCUGAGGGAGAAAGUGGUGGAUCUUCGGACCUCACGCUAUCAGAUGACCCUAGGUCGGAUUAGCUAGUUGUUGGGGUAAAGGCCUACCAAGCCGACGAUCCGUAACUGGUCUGAGAGGAUGAUCAGUCACACUGGACCUGAGACACGGUCCAGACUCCUACGGGAGGCAGCAGUGGGGAAUAUUGGACAAUGGGCGAAAGCCUGAUCCAGCCAUGCCGCGUGUGUGAAGAAGGUCUUCGGAUUGUAAAGCACUUUAAGUUGGGAGGAAGGGCAGUAAGUUAAUACCUUGCUGUUUUGACGUUACCAACAGAAUAAGCACCGGCUAACUUCGUG